Molecule: ribosomal RNA, 253 nt
Filed under: uncultured bacterium
Lineage: Bacteria
Description: partial 16S ribosomal RNA
Rfam family: Bacterial small subunit ribosomal RNA
Source: RNAcentral
UACGUAGGGUGCGAGCGUUGUCCGGAAUUAUUGGGCGUAAAGGGCUCGUAGGCGGUUUGUCGCGUCGGGAGUGAAAACCAGGUGCUUAACACCUGGCUUGCUUUCGAUACGGGCAGACUAGAGGUAUGCAGGGGAGAACGGAAUUCCUGGUGUAGCGGUGAAAUGCGUAGAUAUCAAGAGGAACACCUGCGGCGAAGGCGGGUUGCUGGGCCGACACUGACGCUGAGGCGCGAAAGCUAGGGGAGCGAACGGG